Molecule: ribosomal RNA, 2893 nt
Filed under: human gut metagenome
Description: bacterial LSU rRNA
Rfam family: Bacterial large subunit ribosomal RNA
Source: RNAcentral
ACUAAGCGUACACGGUGGAUGCCCUGGCAGUCAGAGGCGAUGAAGGACGUGCUAAUCUGCGAUAAGCGUCGGUAAGGUGAUAUGAACCGUUAUAACCGGCGAUUUCCGAAUGGGGAAACCCAGUGUGAUUCGUCACACUAUCAUUAACUGAAUCCAUAGGUUAAUGAGGCGAACCGGGGGAACUGAAACAUCUAAGUACCCCGAGGAAAAGAAAUCAACCGAGAUUCCCCCAGUAGCGGCGAGCGAACGGGGAGGAGCCCAGAGCCUGAAUCAGUGUGUGUGUUAGUGGAAGCGUCUGGAAAGGCGCGCGAUACAGGGUGACAGCCCCGUACACAAAAAUGCACAUACUGUGAGCUCGAUGAGUAGGGCGGGACACGUGGUAUCCUGUCUGAAUAUGGGGGGACCAUCCUCCAAGGCUAAAUACUCCUGACUGACCGAUAGUGAACCAGUACCGUGAGGGAAAGGCGAAAAGAACCCCGGCGAGGGGAGUGAAAAAGAACCUGAAACCGUGUACGUACAAGCAGUGGGAGCCUCUUUAUGGGGUGACUGCGUACCUUUUGUAUAAUGGGUCAGCGACUUAUAUUCUGUAGCAAGGUUAACCGAAUAGGGGAGCCGAAGGGAAACCGAGUCUUAACUGGGCGUUAAGUUGCAGGGUAUAGACCCGAAACCCGGUGAUCUAGCCAUGGGCAGGUUGAAGGUUGGGUAACACUAACUGGAGGACCGAACCGACUAAUGUUGAAAAAUUAGCGGAUGACUUGUGGCUGGGGGUGAAAGGCCAAUCAAACCGGGAGAUAGCUGGUUCUCCCCGAAAGCUAUUUAGGUAGCGCCUCGUGAAUUCAUCUCCGGGGGUAGAGCACUGUUUCGGCAAGGGGGUCAUCCCGACUUACCAACCCGAUGCAAACUGCGAAUACCGGAGAAUGUUAUCACGGGAGACACACGGCGGGUGCUAACGUCCGUCGUGAAGAGGGAAACAACCCAGACCGCCAGCUAAGGUCCCAAAGUCAUGGUUAAGUGGGAAACGAUGUGGGAAGGCCCAGACAGCCAGGAUGUUGGCUUAGAAGCAGCCAUCAUUUAAAGAAAGCGUAAUAGCUCACUGGUCGAGUCGGCCUGCGCGGAAGAUGUAACGGGGCUAAACCAUGCACCGAAGCUGCGGCAGCGACACUAUGUGUUGUUGGGUAGGGGAGCGUUCUGUAAGCCUGUGAAGGUGUACUGUGAGGUAUGCUGGAGGUAUCAGAAGUGCGAAUGCUGACAUAAGUAACGAUAAAGCGGGUGAAAAGCCCGCUCGCCGGAAGACCAAGGGUUCCUGUCCAACGUUAAUCGGGGCAGGGUGAGUCGACCCCUAAGGCGAGGCCGAAAGGCGUAGUCGAUGGGAAACAGGUUAAUAUUCCUGUACUUGGUGUUACUGCGAAGGGGGGACGGAGAAGGCUAUGUUGGCCGGGCGACGGUUGUCCCGGUUUAAGCGUGUAGGCUGGUUUUCCAGGCAAAUCCGGAAAAUCAAGGCUGAGGCGUGAUGACGAGGCACUACGGUGCUGAAGCAACAAAUGCCCUGCUUCCAGGAAAAGCCUCUAAGCAUCAGGUAACAUCAAAUCGUACCCCAAACCGACACAGGUGGUCAGGUAGAGAAUACCAAGGCGCUUGAGAGAACUCGGGUGAAGGAACUAGGCAAAAUGGUGCCGUAACUUCGGGAGAAGGCACGCUGAUAUGUAGGUGAAGUCCCUCGCGGAUGGAGCUGAAAUCAGUCGAAGAUACCAGCUGGCUGCAACUGUUUAUUAAAAACACAGCACUGUGCAAACACGAAAGUGGACGUAUACGGUGUGACGCCUGCCCGGUGCCGGAAGGUUAAUUGAUGGGGUUAGCGGUAACGCGAAGCUCUUGAUCGAAGCCCCGGUAAACGGCGGCCGUAACUAUAACGGUCCUAAGGUAGCGAAAUUCCUUGUCGGGUAAGUUCCGACCUGCACGAAUGGCGUAAUGAUGGCCAGGCUGUCUCCACCCGAGACUCAGUGAAAUUGAACUCGCUGUGAAGAUGCAGUGUACCCGCGGCAAGACGGAAAGACCCCGUGAACCUUUACUAUAGCUUGACACUGAACAUUGAGCCUUGAUGUGUAGGAUAGGUGGGAGGCUUUGAAGUGUGGACGCCAGUCUGCAUGGAGCCGACCUUGAAAUACCACCCUUUAAUGUUUGAUGUUCUAACGUUGGCCCCUGAUCGGGGUUGCGGACAGUGUCUGGUGGGUAGUUUGACUGGGGCGGUCUCCUCCUAAAGAGUAACGGAGGAGCACGAAGGUUGGCUAAUCCUGGUCGGACAUCAGGAGGUUAGUGCAAUGGCAUAAGCCAGCUUGACUGCGAGCGUGACGGCGCGAGCAGGUGCGAAAGCAGGUCAUAGUGAUCCGGUGGUUCUGAAUGGAAGGGCCAUCGCUCAACGGAUAAAAGGUACUCCGGGGAUAACAGGCUGAUACCGCCCAAGAGUUCAUAUCGACGGCGGUGUUUGGCACCUCGAUGUCGGCUCAUCACAUCCUGGGGCUGAAGUAGGUCCCAAGGGUAUGGCUGUUCGCCAUUUAAAGUGGUACGCGAGCUGGGUUUAGAACGUCGUGAGACAGUUCGGUCCCUAUCUGCCGUGGGCGCUGGAGAACUGAGGGGGGCUGCUCCUAGUACGAGAGGACCGGAGUGGACGCAUCACUGGUGUUCGGGUUGUCAUGCCAAUGGCACUGCCCGGUAGCUAAAUGCGGAAGAGAUAAGUGCUGAAAGCAUCUAAGCACGAAACUUGCCCCGAGAUGAGUUCUCCCUGACUCCCUGAGAGUCCUGAAGGAACGUUGAAGACGACGACGUUGAUAGGCCGGGUGUGUAAGCGCAGCGAUGCGUUGAGCUAACCGGUACUAAUGAACCGUGAGGCUUAACC